UGGAAUCGCUAGUAAUCGCGGAUCAGAAUGCCGCGGUGAAUACGUUCCCGGGUCUUGUACACACCGCCCGUCACACCAUGGGAGUCGGAAAUGCCCGAAGUCUGUGACCCAACCUCAGGGAGGGAGCAGCCGAAGGCAGGUCGGAUGACUGGGGUGAAGUCGUAACAAGGUAUC
Molecule: ribosomal RNA, 174 nt
Filed under: uncultured bacterium
Lineage: Bacteria
Description: partial 16S ribosomal RNA
Rfam family: Bacterial small subunit ribosomal RNA
Source: RNAcentral